UUCGGGGUACUCGAGUGGCGAACGGGUGAGUAACACGUGGGCAAUCUGCCCUGCACACCGGGAUAAGCCUGGGAAACUGGGUCUAAUACCGGAUAGGACCACUUGGCGCAUGCCUUGUGGUGGAAAGCUUUUGCGGUGUGGGAUGGGCCCGCGGCCUAUCAGCUUGUUGGUGGGGUGACGGCCUACCAAGGCGACGACGGGUAGCCGGCCUGAGAGGGUGUCCGGCCACACUGGGACUGAGAUACGGCCCAGACUCCUACGGGAGGCAGCAGUGGGGAAUAUUGCACAAUGGGCGCAAGCCUGAUGCAGCGACGCCGCGUGGGGGAUGACGGCCUUCGGGUUGUAAACCUCUUUUCACCAUCGACGAAGGUCCGGGUUUUCUCGGAUUGACGGUAGGUGGAGAAGAAGCACCGGCCAACUACGUGCCAGCAGCCGCGGUAAUACGUAAGGGUGCGAGCGUUGUCCGGAAUUACUGGGCGUAAAGAGCUCGUAGGUGGUUUGUCGCGUUGUUCGUGAAAUCUCACGGCUUAACUGUGAGCGUGCGGGCGAUACGGGCAGACUAGAGUACUGCAGGGGAGACUGGAAUUCCUGGUGUAGCGGUGGAAUGCGCAGAUAUCAGGAGGAACACCGGUGGCGAAGGCGGGUCUCUGGGCAGUAACUGACGCUGAGGAGCGAAAGCGUGGGGAGCGAACAGGAUUAGAUACCCUGGUAGUCCACGCCGUAAACGGUGGGUACUAGGUGUGGGUUUCCUUCCUUGGGAUCCGUGCCGUAGCUAACGCAUUAAGUACCCCGCCUGGGGAGUACGGCCGCAAGGCUAAAACUCAAAGGAAUUGACGGGGGCCCGCACAAGCGGCGGAGCAUGUGGAUUAAUUCGAUGCAACGCGAARAACCUUACCUGGGUUUGACAUGCACAGGACGCGUCUAGAGAUAAGCGUUCCCUUGUGGCCUGUGUUGCAGGUGGUGCAUGGCUGUCGUCAGCUCGUGUCGUGAGAUGUUGGGUUAAGUCCCGCAACGAGCGCAACCCUUGUCUCAUGUUGCCAGCGGGUAAUGCCGGGGACUCGUGAGAGACUGCCGGGGUCAACUCGGAGGAAGGUGGGGAUGACGUCAAGUCAUCAUGCCCCUUAUGUCCAGGGCUUCACACAUGCUACAAUGGCCGGUACAAAGGGCUGCGAUGCCGCGAGGUUAAGCGAAUCCUUUUAAAGCCGGUCUCAGUUCGGAUCGGGGUCUGCAACUCGACCCCGUGAAGUCGGAGUCGCUAGUAAUCGCAGAUCAGCAACGCUGCGGUGAAUACGUUCCCGGGCCUUGUACACACCGCCCGUCACGUCAUGAAAGUCGGUAACACCCGAAGCCAGUGG
RNAcentral lists this ribosomal RNA (1355 nucleotides) under Mycobacterium sp. DWMJ-454A1. RNAcentral's name for it is "bacterial SSU rRNA". It matches the Rfam family "Bacterial small subunit ribosomal RNA", at positions 81 to 1433 of the family's 1533-position model. Lineage: Bacteria; Bacillati; Actinomycetota; Actinomycetes; Mycobacteriales; Mycobacteriaceae. The record is from RNAcentral.